UGAACGCUGGCGGCGUGCCUAAUACAUGCAAGUCGAGCGAACAGACGCGGAGCUUGCUCCUCUGACGUUAGCGGCGGACGGGUGAGUAACACGUGGAUAACCUACCUAUAAGACUGGGAUAACUUCGGGAAACCGGAGCUAAUACCGGAUAAUAUAUUGAACCGCAUGGUUCAAUAGUGAAAGACGGUUUUGCUGUCACUUAUAGAUGGAUCCGCGCCGCAUUAGCUAGUUGGUAAGGUAACGGCUUACCAAGGCAACGAUGCGUAGCCGACCUGAGAGGGUGAUCGGCCACACUGGAACUGAGACACGGUCCAGACUCCUACGGGAGGCAGCAGUAGGGAGUCUUCCGCAAUGGGCGAAAGCCUGACGGAGCAACGCCGCGUGAGUGAUGAAGGUCUUCGGAUCGUAAAACUCUGUUAUUAGGGAAGAACAAAUGUGUAAGUAACUAUGCACGUCUUGACGGUACCUAAUCAGAAAGCCACGGCUAACUACGUG
This 495-nucleotide ribosomal RNA is filed under the name uncultured bacterium. Its description in RNAcentral is "partial 16S ribosomal RNA". It matches the Rfam family "Bacterial small subunit ribosomal RNA", at positions 30 to 507 of the family's 1533-position model. The record is from RNAcentral.